Molecule: unclassified non-coding RNA, 312 nt
Filed under: plant metagenome
Description: partial contains 5.8S ribosomal RNA, internal transcribed spacer 2, and large subunit ribosomal RNA
Rfam family: 5.8S ribosomal RNA (bases 1-105)
Source: RNAcentral
GAAAUGCGAUAAGUAAUGUGAAUUGCAGAAUUCCGUGAAUCAUCGAAUCUUUGAACGCACAUUGCGCCCUCUGGCAUUCCGGGGGGCAUGCCUGUCCGAGCGUCAUUACGCACCCUCAAGCCCGGCUUGUGUGAUGGGCCCCGGCGUCUCGUUCGCGAGACGGGCCCGAAAGGCAGCGGCGGCGUCGACCCGAUGAGCCCGAGCGUAUGGGGACUUCUGUCACACGUUCGCGGUGCGGACCGGCGCCUGCUUGACUUUUCUGAUUAUCCAGGUUGACCUCGGAUCAGGUAGUGAUACCCGCUGAACUUAAGC